This 492-nucleotide ribosomal RNA is filed under the name uncultured bacterium. Its description in RNAcentral is "partial 16S ribosomal RNA". It matches the Rfam family "Bacterial small subunit ribosomal RNA", at positions 29 to 507 of the family's 1533-position model. The record is from RNAcentral.
AGUGAACGCUGGCGGUAGGCCUAACACAUGCAAGUCGAACGGCAGCACAGUAAGAGCUUGCUCUUACGGGUGGCGAGUGGCGGACGGGUGAGGAAUACAUCGGAAUCUACUUUUUCGUGGGGGAUAACGUAGGGAAACUUACGCUAAUACCGCAUACGACCUACGGCUGAAAGCAGGGGAUCUUCGGACCUUGCGCGAUUGAAUGAGCCGAUGUCGGAUUAGCUAGUUGGGGGGGUAAAGGCCCACCAAGGCGACGAUCCGUAGCUGGUCUGAGAGGAUGAUCAGCCACACUGGAACUGAGACACGGUCCAGACUCCUACGGGAGGCAGCAGUGGGGAAUAUUGGACAAUGGGCGAAAGCCUGAUCCAGCCAUACCGCGUGGGUGAAGAAGGCCUUCGGGUUGUAAAGCCCUUUUGUUGGGAAAGAAAAGCAGCAGGUUAAUACCCCGCUGUUCUGACGGUACCCAAAGAAUAAGCACCGGCUAACUUCGUG